RNAcentral lists this small RNA (28 nucleotides) under Bombyx mori (domestic silkworm). RNAcentral's name for it is "ovarian small RNA-16291". Lineage: Eukaryota; Metazoa; Arthropoda; Insecta; Lepidoptera; Bombycidae. The record is from RNAcentral.
GCACAGCCGAUUCAAACUCCGCCUGCGA